Molecule: ribosomal RNA, 406 nt
Filed under: uncultured bacterium
Lineage: Bacteria
Description: partial 16S ribosomal RNA
Rfam family: Bacterial small subunit ribosomal RNA
Source: RNAcentral
AUUGAACGCUGGCGGCAGGCCUAACACAUGCAAGUCGAACGAGUGGCGGACGGGUGAGUAAUGCCUGGGACACUGCCAGCCGGAGGGGGAUCACUACUGGAAACGGUAGCUAAUACCGCAUACCCUCGGUUGUGCGCAGAUGGGAUUAGCUAGUAGGUGGGGUAAAGGCCCACCUAGGCGACGAUCCCUAGCUGGGCUGAGAGGAUGACCAGCCACACUGGAAUGGAGACACGGUCCAGACCCCUACGGGAGGCAGCAGAGGGGAAUAGUGCACAAUGGACGCAAGCCUGAUGCGGCCAUGCCGCGUGUAUGAAGAAGGCCCUCGGGUUGUAAAGUACUUUCAGCGGUGUGGCGUUACCCGCAGAAGAAGCACCGGCUAACUCCGUGCCAGCAGCCGCGGUAAUAC